CAGUCGCCACGGUAAUACGUAGGUGGCAAGCGUUGUCCGGAAUUAUUGGGCGUAAAGGGCUCGCAGGCGGUUUCUUAAGUCUGAUGUGAAAGCCCCCGGCUCAACCGGGGAGGGUCAUUGGAAACUGGGAAACUUGAGUGCAGAAGAGGAGAGUGGAAUUCCACGUGUAGCGGUGAAAUGCGUAGAGAUGUGGAGGAACACCAGUGGCGAAGGCGACUCUCUGGUCUGUAACUGACGCUGAGGAGCGAAAGCGUGGGGAGCGAACAGGAUUAGUUACCCCCGUAGUCCCUGUCUCUUAUAA
This 301-nucleotide ribosomal RNA is filed under the name uncultured bacterium. RNAcentral's name for it is "partial 16S ribosomal RNA". It matches the Rfam family "Bacterial small subunit ribosomal RNA", at positions 509 to 809 of the family's 1533-position model. The record is from RNAcentral.